AAGUCGUAACAAGGUUUCCGUAGGUGAACCUGCGGAAGGAUCAUUACCAAUAUAGCGAACCGAGCGUUAGCGAGGCUUCGCGAUCAAAUUGUAUUUAAAACCCAACUCUUUAAAUAUAUAUCAUUAUUGUAUUUUAAAUAAUAAAGAUCACUUUCAACAACGGAUCUCUUGGCUCUC
RNAcentral lists this unclassified non-coding RNA (177 nucleotides) under Glomus indicum. RNAcentral describes it as "partial internal transcribed spacer region". The stretch from base 1 to 46 matches the Rfam family "Eukaryotic small subunit ribosomal RNA", at positions 1786 to 1831 of the family's 1831-position model. Lineage: Eukaryota; Fungi; Glomeromycota; Glomeromycetes; Glomerales; Glomeraceae. RNAcentral also lists the same sequence under 2 other names. The record is from RNAcentral.